CAAGUCGAACGAUGAAGCUGGAGCUUGCUCCGGUGGAUUAGUGGCGAACGGGUGAGUAACACGUGAGUAAUCUGCCCUUGACUCUGGGAUAACUGCGGGAAACUGUAGCUAAUACCGGAUACGACACCUUCGGGCAUCCGAUGGGUGUGGAAAGAAUUUCGGUCAAGGAUGAACUCGCGGCCUAUCAGCUAGUUGGUGAGGUAAAGGCUCACCAAGGCGACGACGGGUAGCCGGCCUGAGAGGGUGACCGGCCACACUGGGACUGAGACACGGCCCAGACUCCUACGGGAGGCAGCAGUGGGGAAUAUUGCACAAUGGGCGAAAGCCUGAUGCAGCAACGCCGCGUGAGGGAUGAAGGCCUUCGGGUUGUAAACCUCUUUUAGUUGGGAAGAAGCGAAAGUGACGGUACCAACAGAAAAAGCACCGGCUAACUACGUGCCAGCAGCCGCGGUAAUACGUAGGGUGCAAGCGUUGUCCGGAAUUAUUGGGCGUAAAGAGCUCGUAGGCGGUUUGUCGCGUCUGCUGUGAAAAUCCGAGGCUCAACCUCGGACCUGCAGUGGGUACGGGCAAACUAGAGUGCGGUAGGGGAGAAGGGAAUUCCUGGUGUAGCGGUGGAAUGCGCAGAUAUCAGGAGGAACACCGAUGGCGAAGGCACUUCUCUGGGCCGUAACUGACGCUGAGGAGCGAAAGCGUGGGGAGCGAACAGGAUUAGAUACCCUGGUAGUCCACGCCGUAAACGGUGGGUGCUAGUUGUGGGCCACAUUCCACGUGGUCCGUGACGCAGCUAACGCAUUAAGCACCCCGCCUGGGGAGUACGGUCGCAAGACUAAAACUCAAAGGAAUUGACGG
RNAcentral lists this ribosomal RNA (849 nucleotides) under uncultured bacterium. RNAcentral's name for it is "bacterial SSU rRNA". It matches the Rfam family "Bacterial small subunit ribosomal RNA", at positions 58 to 916 of the family's 1533-position model. The record is from RNAcentral.